Long non-coding RNA from Acanthochromis polyacanthus (spiny chromis), 620 nucleotides. RefSeq lists it as uncharacterized. NCBI's taxonomy places the organism in Eukaryota, Metazoa, Chordata, Actinopteri, Pomacentridae. The transcript is spliced from 2 exons. The record is from RefSeq and is a predicted model, not a curated record.
CUUCUUUUUAAAUAUGUUGUGUACAGACUUAUUUACUUGUCUGUCUACUUUUCUUACUCCAUGUAGUUUUCCCAAAGACUAUGGGUUGAGGAGGAAGUGGAAGCAGCUCUGAGGAGAGAGGGGUUUGCUGCAAAUGAUGAGUGGGUGCUCUGCAGAGAUCAUUUUAAACCUGAUGAGUUUGACAGGACUGGGCAGGUUUUUUGGCUGAGACCUGGUGUCACUCCAUCAGUGUUUAACUUCCUGGCUCAUCUUGGAAGAGGAUGUGACAGAAAGACCACGACCAAGCAGGCUGGAGAUCUUAGGCAGCGUCUCCCUCAGUUCAAAGGUCCCUCUCUAUCUCCCCACACAUCCACCAACCACUGGAACACAUCUCCAAAGUUCUGCUGAAGCUCAGCUUCCCCUCAGAAGAAGUGCCGCCAGAUGAAGGAGCCUUUUGAGAGGCAGCUGGCAUCGUGAUUGGACUGUGCUUUGGUCUGAUCCAAUCCAGCUUCAGCUCCAGAGACGGCAGGCGGGACGAGUCAACGGAGGCCGAGUGGAUGAAGGCAUGAAGCCGAGUACAAUCCAGAAAACAACAGAGGAGUGCAGCGGCCCAGGACCAGAAAAAACAGAGUAGCAUAGUA